Molecule: non-coding RNA, 906 nt
Organism: Arachis ipaensis
Lineage: Eukaryota; Viridiplantae; Streptophyta; Magnoliopsida; Fabales; Fabaceae
Source: RefSeq, a predicted model, not a curated record
ACACGUGAUAAAAACUAAAAAGAAAAUACACGGAGAGAGAGAGAGGAUCAGAGGAGUAAGAAAAAGCUAGAAAUGAGGGAUAGGAAAAACAGAGGGGUUUGGUUAAGAAGAAGAGAGAUGUCACCGGCGAUUAAGAAGAAGACUUCGCCGGUGAAGGAGACAGAGAUGGCGGCAGAGUCUCAGAUCACUGGCAAGGAGUAAGGAGGAGCUCGCCGGUGAUGGUGACAGUGACGACCCAGAGGACGACGGUGAGAAGAAAGAAGAGGUGACGAAGAAGAAGGCAGAUUUUCUGCUCUGUUUCUGGCGAACAGCAGAGAUGAAGAACGAGAAAUCAGAGACAACGCCGUCUGUGCAUGCAAGCUUCUGGUCACAGAAAAGAGAAAGAGAUGACGGUGAUGGUGGUUGAAGCGGCUAAGAAGAAGAAGAAUGGCAGAAGUCAGAGGAGCGGCGCAGAGAAGUGAGAGAACGGCCGUGGUGCUGCUGCAUGCAGAAAAACCGUUCGGUAAAGAGAGAUCAGAGCAGAAACACAGACGACGCUGCUGAUGGAGGUUCUGUCUCGGUGAAGAAAAAGGUUGAGGAUAUGUUGGUGUUUGAGUGAUGGUUGAUGGCUGUUUGGUACAAGGUAGUGGUGAACAGUUUCAGGUAUUUUGUUUCUGUAUUAGUGAUGGCCGGAUGUCAAUUGGUGUAUGAUGUAUAUGGUUGUGUUUGGCUGAAGUUGUGGAUUUUAAUUUGGGUGCGUGGAUCUGAAACUUUUUAUGGUUUGGGUGGUUUUGCUGUUUGAUUGGUUUUGGGUCGCGUAUGGACUGUGAAGGAUGCCGAUGAUGAUGCAGAUUUUUUUUUUUUAACAGCAGUAAAACAAACCAGUGAAAGAAAUUUUUGUUUGUACAAAUUAAAUAUAUCUAAGUA